ACGGGAGGCAGCAGUGGGGAAUCUUGCGCAAUGGGCGAAAGCCUGACGCAGCAACGCCGCGUGCGGGACGAAGGCCUUCGGGUUGUAAACCGCUUUCAGCAGGGAAGACACUGACGGUACCUGCAGAAGAAGCUCCGGCUAACUACGUGCCAGCAGCCGCGGUAAUACGUAGGGAGCGAGCGUUAUCCGGAUUCAUUGGGCGUAAAGCGCGCGUAGGCGGCUUGCCAAGCGGGAUGUCAAAGCCCGGGGCUCAACCCCGGCCCGCAUCCCGAACUGGCAGGCUUGAGUCUGGUAGGGGAAGGCGGAAUUCCCAGUGUAGCGGUGAAAUGCGCAGAUAUUGGGAAGAACACCGGUGGCGAAGGCGGCCUUCUGGGCCACGACUGACGCUGAGACGCGAAAGCUAGGGGAGCGAACAGGAUUAGAUACCCUGGUA
RNAcentral lists this ribosomal RNA (433 nucleotides) under uncultured Coriobacteriaceae bacterium. RNAcentral describes it as "partial 16S ribosomal RNA". It matches the Rfam family "Bacterial small subunit ribosomal RNA", at positions 341 to 792 of the family's 1533-position model. The record is from RNAcentral. Lineage: Bacteria; Bacillati; Actinomycetota; Coriobacteriia; Coriobacteriales; Coriobacteriaceae.